UAAGCAUAUCAAUAAGCGGAGGAAAAGAAACUAACAAGGAUUCCCCUAGUAACUGCGAGUGAAGCGGGAAAAGCUCAAAUUUAAAAUCUGGCAGUCUUUGGCUGUCCGAGUUGUAGUCUGGAGAAGCGUCUUCCGCGCUGGACCGUGUACAAGUCUCCUGGAACGGAGCGUCAUAGAGGGUGAGAAUCCCGUCUUUGACACGGACUACCAGUGCUUUGUGAUGCGCUCUCAAAGAGUCGAGUUGUUUGGGAAUGCAGCUCAAAAUGGGUGGUGAACUCCAUCUAAAGCUAAAUAUUGGCGAGAGACCGAUAGCGAACAAGUACCGUGAGGGAAAGAUGAAAAGCACUUUGGAAAGAGAGUUAAACAGUACGUGAAAUUGCUGAAAGGGAAACGCUUGAAGUCAGUCGCGUUUGCUAGAACUCAGCCUGGCUUUUGCUUGGUGCAUUUUCUAGUAAACGGGCCAGCAUCACUUUUGGUUGCGGGAUAAAGGUCGCAGGAAUGUGGCACCUUCGGGUGUGUUAUAGCCUGUGAUUGCAUACCGUGGCCGGGAGUGAGGAACUCAGCACGCAUUUGUUGUGCUUAGGAUGCUGGCGUAAUGGCUUUAAACGACCCGUCUUG
This 618-nucleotide ribosomal RNA is filed under the name Phlebia sp. RNAcentral describes it as "partial large subunit ribosomal RNA". It matches the Rfam family "Eukaryotic large subunit ribosomal RNA", at positions 35 to 656 of the family's 3401-position model. Lineage: Eukaryota; Fungi; Basidiomycota; Agaricomycetes; Polyporales; Meruliaceae. The record is from RNAcentral.